GAUGAACGCUGGCGGCGUGCUUAACACAUGCAAGUCGAACGAAGCACUUUAUUUGAUUUCCUUCGGGACUGAUUAUUUUGUGACUGAGUGGCGGACGGGUGAGUAACGCGUGGGUAACCUGCCUUGUACAGGGGGAUAACAGUUGGAAACGGCUGCUAAUACCGCAUAAGCGCACAGCAUCGCAUGAUGCAGUGUGAAAAACUCCGGUGGUAUAAGAUGGACCCGCGUUGGAUUAGCUAGUUGGUGAGGUAACGGCCCACCAAGGCGACGAUCCAUAGCCGAGCUGAGAGGGUGACCGGCCACAUUGGGACUGAGACACGGCCCAGACUCCUACGGGAGGCAGCAGUGGGGAAUAUUGCACAAUGGGCGAAAGCCUGAUGCAGCGACGCCGCGUGAGCGAAGAAGUAUGUCGGUAUGUAAAGCUCUAUCAGCAGGGAAGAUAAUGACGGUACCUGACGAAGAAGCACCGGCUAAAUACGUG
RNAcentral lists this ribosomal RNA (481 nucleotides) under uncultured bacterium. Its description in RNAcentral is "partial 16S ribosomal RNA". It matches the Rfam family "Bacterial small subunit ribosomal RNA", at positions 28 to 507 of the family's 1533-position model. The record is from RNAcentral.